Molecule: ribosomal RNA, 278 nt
Filed under: uncultured archaeon
Lineage: Archaea
Description: partial 16S rRNA
Rfam family: Archaeal small subunit ribosomal RNA
Source: RNAcentral
AAGACCCAUACCACUAUUUGCCAAGCGGGCUUCGGCUUGUGCGAGCACAAUAGUGGGACUGCAUUCGCUAAGAAUGAGGAAGGUGUGGGCCACGGUAGGUCAGUAUGCCCCGAAUCCCCUGGGCUACACGCGAGUUGCAAUGGUUAGUACAGUGGGCUGCUACUCCGAAAGGAGACGCAAAUCCCUAAACCUAAUCUUAGUCCGGAUUGAGGGUUGUAACUCACCCUCAUGAAGAUGGAAUCCCUAGUAACCGUGAGCCAUUCUCUCACGGUGAAUAC